This 331-nucleotide unclassified non-coding RNA is filed under the name soil metagenome. Its description in RNAcentral is "partial contains 5.8S ribosomal RNA, internal transcribed spacer 2, and large subunit ribosomal RNA". The stretch from base 1 to 120 matches the Rfam family "5.8S ribosomal RNA", at positions 35 to 154 of the family's 154-position model. The record is from RNAcentral.
GAUGAAGAACGAAGCGAAAUGCGAUAAGUAAUGUGAAUUGCAGAAUUCAGUGAAUCAUCGAAUCUUUGAACGCACAUUGCGCCCCCUGGUAUUCCGGGGGGCAUGCCUGUUCGAGCGUCAUUUCACCACUCAAGCCUCGCUUGGUAUUGGGCAACGCGGUCCGCCGCGUGCCUCAAAUCGACCGGCUGGGUCUUCUGUCCCCUAAGCGUUGUGGAAACUAUUCGCUAAAGGGUGUUCGGGAGGCUACGCCGUAAAACAACCCCAUUUCUAAGGUUGACCGCGGAUCAGGCAGGGAUACCCGCUGAACUUAAGCAUAUCAAUAAGCGGAGGA